Molecule: ribosomal RNA, 273 nt
Filed under: uncultured Solirubrobacterales bacterium
Lineage: Bacteria; Bacillati; Actinomycetota; Thermoleophilia; Solirubrobacterales
Description: partial 16S ribosomal RNA
Rfam family: Bacterial small subunit ribosomal RNA
Source: RNAcentral
UACGUAGGGGGCAAGCGUUGUCCGGAAUCAUUGGGCGUAAAGAGCGUGUAGGCGGCUUGGUAAGUCUGCUGUGAAAGUCCAGGGCUCAACCCUGGAAAGCCGGUGGAAACUGUCAAGCUAGAGUCCGGAAGAGGCGAGUGGAAUUCCUGGUGUAGCGGUGAAAUGCGCAGAUAUCAGGAGGAACACCAAUGGCGAAGGCAGCUCGCUGGGACGGUACUGACGCUGAGACGCGAAAGCGUGGGGAGCAAACAGGAUUAGAAACCCUCGUAGUCC